UGUUUUUAUCGAUCUUACAUGAUGAUGAUGUCUGUCUGUGUGUCUACAGCUCUGCUGAGACAGAACCAGCCCGCCAAAGCGUCCAAUCUGGCCCACUGGAUGACUGGAUGAUAAUCAGCUCUAAGGUGCUCCUGGAUUUGACAGACAGAGAGAAGAAUGUUGGGGGGGACACUGCCUUGCACAAAGCAGCCUCAGAGUGCCGUGUCUCGACUGCUGGUGGG
This is a long non-coding RNA of Epinephelus fuscoguttatus (brown-marbled grouper), 221 nucleotides long. RefSeq lists it as uncharacterized. Lineage: Eukaryota; Metazoa; Chordata; Actinopteri; Perciformes; Serranidae. The transcript has 3 exons. The record is from RefSeq and is a predicted model, not a curated record.